RNAcentral lists this ribosomal RNA (473 nucleotides) under Streptococcus sp. oral taxon 061. RNAcentral's name for it is "bacterial SSU rRNA". It matches the Rfam family "Bacterial small subunit ribosomal RNA", at positions 28 to 485 of the family's 1533-position model. Lineage: Bacteria; Bacillati; Bacillota; Bacilli; Lactobacillales; Streptococcaceae. The record is from RNAcentral.
GAUGAACGCUGGCGGCGUGCCUAAUACAUGCAAGUAGAACGCUGAAGCUUGGUGCUUGCACCGAGCGGAUGAGUUGCGAACGGGUGAGUAACGCGUAGGUAACCUGCCUGGUAGCGGGGGAUAACUAUUGGAAACGAUAGCUAAUACCGCAUAACAGUAGAUAUUGCAUGAUAUCUGCUUGAAAGGUGCAAAUGCAUCACUACCAGAUGGACCUGCGUUGUAUUAGCUAGUUGGUGAGGUAACGGCUCACCAAGGCGACGAUACAUAGCCGACCUGAGAGGGUGAUCGGCCACACUGGGACUGAGACACGGCCCAGACUCCUACGGGAGGCAGCAGUAGGGAAUCUUCGGCAAUGGGGGGAACCCUGACCGAGCAACGCCGCGUGAGUGAAGAAGGUUUUCGGAUCGUAAAGCUCUGUUGUAAGAGAAGAACGAGUGUGAGAGUGGAAAGUUCACACUGUGACGUAUCUACCA